AACACCCAACUUCUGAAAUGUUGACCUCGGAUCAGGUAGGAAUACCCG
Molecule: ribosomal RNA, 48 nt
Filed under: Trichoderma viride
Lineage: Eukaryota; Fungi; Ascomycota; Sordariomycetes; Hypocreales; Hypocreaceae
Description: partial 28S ribosomal RNA
Source: RNAcentral